RNAcentral lists this ribosomal RNA (818 nucleotides) under Salmonella enterica subsp. enterica serovar Dublin. RNAcentral describes it as "partial 23S ribosomal RNA". It matches the Rfam family "Bacterial large subunit ribosomal RNA", at positions 504 to 1221 of the family's 2925-position model. Lineage: Bacteria; Pseudomonadati; Pseudomonadota; Gammaproteobacteria; Enterobacterales; Enterobacteriaceae. The record is from RNAcentral.
UGAGGGAAAGGCGAAAAGAACCCCGGCGAGGGGAGUGAAAAAGAACCUGAAACCGUGUACGUACAAGCAGUGGGAGCCCCACCACUAAGCCAGUGGUGAACUCCACAUACGCAUCCUUUGCUGAGGAUACGGUUAACGGAGCGAAAGCGACGUUCAACCGCAAAAGAAGCAGAGGGGGCUUAGUGGUGGGGUGACUGCGUACCUUUUGUAUAAUGGGUCAGCGACUUAUAUUCUGUAGCAAGGUUAACCGAAUAGGGGAGCCGGAGGGAAACCGAGUCUUAACCGGGCGUUAAGUUGCAGGGUAUAGACCCGAAACCCGGUGAUCUAGCCAUGGGCAGGUUGAAGGUUGGGUAACACUAACUGGAGGACCGAACCGACUAAUGUUGAAAAAUUAGCGGAUGACCUGUGGCUGGGGGUGAAAGGCCAAUCAAACCGGGAGAUAGCUGGUUCUCCCCGAAAGCUAUUUAGGUAGCGCCUCGUGAAUUCAUCUCCGGGGGUAGAGCACUGUUUCGGCUAGGGGGCCAUCCCGGCUUACCAACCCGAUGCAAACUGCGAAUACCGGAGAAUGUUAUCACGGGAGACACACGGCGGGUGCUAACGUCCGUCGUGAAGAGGGAAACAACCCAGACCGCCAGCUAAGGUCCCAAAGUCAUGGUUAAGUGGGAAACGAUGUGGGAAGGCCCAGACAGCCAGGAUGUUGGCUUAGAAGCAGCCAUCAUUUAAAGAAAGCGUAAUAGCUCACUGGUCGAGUCGGCCUGCGCGGAAGAUGUAACGGGGCUAAACCAUGCACCGAAGCUGCGGCAGCGACGCUUAUGCGU